GACGAACGCUGGCGGCGUGCUUAACACAUGCAAGUCGAGCGAGUGAGUUCUUCGGAACAAUCUAGCGGCGGACGGGUGAGUAACACGUGGGCAACCUGCCUCAUAGAGGGGAAUAGCCUCCCGAAAGGGAGAUUAAUACCGCAUAAAAUUAUCGAGUGGCAUCACAUGAUAAUCAAAGGAGCAAUCCGCUAUGAGAUGGGCCCGCGGCGCAUUAGCUAGUUGGUGAGGUAACGGCUCACCAAGGCGACGAUGCGUAGCCGACCUGAGAGGGUGAUCGGCCACAUUGGGACUGAGACACGGCCCAGACUCCUACGGGAGGCAGCAGUGGGGAAUAUUGCACAAUGGGGGAAACCCUGAUGCAGCAACGCCGCGUGAGUGAUGACGGCCUUCGGGUUGUAAAGCUCUGUCUUUGGGGACGAUAAUGACGGUACCCAAGGAGGAAGUCACGGCUAACUACGUGCCAGCCGCCGCGGUAA
Molecule: ribosomal RNA, 476 nt
Filed under: uncultured bacterium
Lineage: Bacteria
Description: partial 16S ribosomal RNA
Rfam family: Bacterial small subunit ribosomal RNA
Source: RNAcentral